CGUGCUUGAAUACAUGCAAGUCGAAACGCGAAAGGGGGCUUCGGCUCUGAGUAGCGUGGCGCACGGGUGAGUAACACGUAGGUAACCUACCUCUCAGCGGGGGGAUAAUCGCCCGAAAGGGCGUCUAAUACCGCAUAAGACCACAGGGACCUCGGUCCUAGGGGUUAAAGAUGGCCUCUGCAUGCAAGCUAUCACUGAGAGAUGGGCCUGCGGCGCAUCAGCUAGUUGGUGAGGUAACGGCUCACCAAGGCAUAGACGCGUAGCUGGUCUGAGAGGAUGAUCAGCCACACUGGAACUGAGACACGGUCCAGACUCCUACGGGAGGCAGCAGUAGGGAAUAUUGGACAAUGGGCGCAAGCCUGAUCCAGCAACGCCGCGUGGGUGACGAAGGCCUUCGGGUCGUAAAGCCCUGUGGGGAGGGACGAAAUCUCUCAGUUUAAUAAACUGAGGGGCUGACGGUACCUCCUUAGCAAGCACCGGCUAACCACGUGCCAGCAGCCGCGGUAA
This 507-nucleotide ribosomal RNA is filed under the name uncultured delta proteobacterium. RNAcentral's name for it is "bacterial SSU rRNA". It matches the Rfam family "Bacterial small subunit ribosomal RNA", at positions 43 to 523 of the family's 1533-position model. The record is from RNAcentral. Lineage: Bacteria; Deltaproteobacteria.